UCAGGACGAACGCUGGCGGCGUGCCUAAUACAUGCAAGUCGAACGGUCUUUCUAUGGAAGCUUGCUUCCACUGAGAAGAUAGUGGCGAACGGGUGAGUAACACGUGGGUAACCUGCCCAUAAGAGGGGGAUAACAUCCGGAAACGGGUGCUAAUACCGCAUAGUUUUCUUGAUCGCAUGAUUGGGAAAGGAAAGACGGCCUUUGUGCUGUCGCUUAUGGAUGGACCCGCGGCGUAUUAGUUAGUUGGUGAGGUAACGGCUCACCAAGACGAUGAUACGUAGCCGACCUGAGAGGGUGAUCGGCCACAUUGGGACUGAGACACGGCCCAAACUCCUACGGGAGGCAGCAGUAGGGAAUCUUCCGCAAUGGACGAAAGUCUGACGGAGCAACGCCGCGUGAGUGAAGAAAAGGUUUUCGGAUCGUAAAACUCUGUUGUCAGAGAAGAACAAGUUGGAGAGUAACUGCUCCAGCCUUGACGGUAUCUGACCAGAAAGCCACGGCUAACUACGUGCCAGCAGCGGC
RNAcentral lists this ribosomal RNA (522 nucleotides) under uncultured bacterium. RNAcentral describes it as "bacterial SSU rRNA". It matches the Rfam family "Bacterial small subunit ribosomal RNA", at positions 24 to 518 of the family's 1533-position model. The record is from RNAcentral.